This 389-nucleotide ribosomal RNA is filed under the name Salmonella enterica subsp. enterica serovar Newport. Its description in RNAcentral is "bacterial SSU rRNA". It matches the Rfam family "Bacterial small subunit ribosomal RNA", at positions 816 to 1205 of the family's 1533-position model. The record is from RNAcentral. Lineage: Bacteria; Pseudomonadati; Pseudomonadota; Gammaproteobacteria; Enterobacterales; Enterobacteriaceae.
CUUGGAGGUUGUGCCCUUGAGGCGUGGCUUCCGGAGCUAACGCGUUAAGUAGACCGCCUGGGGAGUACGGCCGCAAGGUUAAAACUCAAAUGAAUUGACGGGGGCCCGCACAAGCGGUGGAGCAUGUGGUUUAAUUCGAUGCAACGCGAAGAACCUUACCUGGUCUUGACAUCCACGGAAGUUUUCAGAGAUGAGAAUGUGCCUUCGGGAACCGUGAGACAGGUGCUGCAUGGCUGUCGUCAGCUCGUGUUGUGAAAUGUUGGGUUAAGUCCCGCAACGAGCGCAACCCUUAUCCUUUGUUGCCAGCGAUUAGGUCGGGAACUCAAAGGAGACUGCCAGUGAUAAACUGGAGGAAGGUGGGGAUGACGUCAAGUCAUCAUGGCCCUUAC